Molecule: ribosomal RNA, 179 nt
Filed under: uncultured bacterium
Lineage: Bacteria
Description: partial 16S ribosomal RNA
Rfam family: Bacterial small subunit ribosomal RNA
Source: RNAcentral
GGGGGGGUAAUUUGGACAUGGGCGAAGCCUGAUCCAGCCAUGCCGCGUGUGUGAAGAAGGUCUUCGGAUUGUAAAGCACUUUAAGUUGGGAGGAAGGGUUGUAGAUUAAUACUCUGCUGUUUUGACGUUACCGACAGAAUAAGCACCGGCUAACUCUGUGCCAGCAGCCGCGGUAAUCA